UUCUAGAAAUUUCAGCUAGAAAGGGUUAAUCUACAGGAAGUGAAACGGUCAACUUAUGAUCAUACAAGGAAAUGUACAGACCAGCUACUGCUCUUGGGUCAAGUAUGUCAGGCGUUCAGUUGCUCUGCCUGAUAGAUAAGGCUGCAGACGCCUGCCGCUACCUGCAGACAUACGGCGAGUGGAAU
RNAcentral lists this small RNA (185 nucleotides) under Pan troglodytes (chimpanzee). RNAcentral's name for it is "processed transcript". The record is from RNAcentral. Lineage: Eukaryota; Metazoa; Chordata; Mammalia; Primates; Hominidae.